UCAGCAGCCGCGGUAAGACGAAGGACCCGAGCGUUAUCCGGAUUCAUUGGGUUUAAAGGGUGCGUAGGCGGACUUAUAAGUCAGUGGUGAAAUCUCCAGGCUCAACUUGGAAACUGCCAUUGAUACUGUUAGUCUUGAAUCUAGCUGAUGUGGGCGGAAUAUGACAUGUAGCGGUGAAAUGCUUAGAUAUGUCAUAGAACACCGAUUGCGAAGGCAGCUCACAAAACUAGUAUUGACGCUGAGGCACGAAAGUGCGGGGAUCAAACAGGAUUAGAUACCCUGGUAGUCCGCACCGUAAACGUUGAUUACUCGAUGUUGGCGAUAUACAGUCAGCGUCCAAGCGAAAGCGUUAAGUAAUCCACCUGGGGAGUACGAUCGCAAGAUUGAAACUCAAAGGAAUUGACGGGGGCCCGCACA
Molecule: ribosomal RNA, 417 nt
Filed under: uncultured bacterium
Lineage: Bacteria
Description: bacterial SSU rRNA
Rfam family: Bacterial small subunit ribosomal RNA
Source: RNAcentral